This is a non-coding RNA of Camellia sinensis, 795 nucleotides long. NCBI's taxonomy places the organism in Eukaryota, Viridiplantae, Streptophyta, Magnoliopsida, Ericales, Theaceae. The record is from RefSeq and is a predicted model, not a curated record.
UAAUACUAUUAAAAAUAGGCAAUGAUUGUACACAUUGAGCUAUAAUCUAACAAUAAUCGAAUAAACACAAAAAGAAUUUGUAAAGAAGAAGUUUUCAUCGAAUUCCGUCUUCUCCUACAAGUCAUGUGUGCCAACUAUGUUGCGCGUGUCAAGUUUCGUUGAAAUCCGAACCCGUUUGAGCAUUUUAGCGCGUCAUCCGAUUUGAAAAAGAGUUAUUAACUAAUAAGUUUUCAUAAACUGAAAUUAGGCUCUAGAUUCAAAACCGGGAUUCGGUUUCGAGUUCCGUCUUCUUCUACAAGUCAUGUGUGCCUAGUAAGUUGUGCGUGUCAAGUUUCGUUGACAUCCGAACCCGUUUGAGCAUUUUAGUGUGUCAACUGGUUUGAAAAAGAGUUAUUAAGUAACAAGUUUUCAUUAACAAAAAUUAAGCUCUAGAUUCAAAAUCGAGAAUCAGUUUCGAGUUCCGUUUUUAGCUGUGGAUUGUGUUACAUAAACUCUUAUAUUUCCCCCAUUGGAUAUGAUAUGACCAAGGUAAGGGCCCGAGAUAUGUGUUAGACACCCCUACCCAAUUUAGAUACUUAGAUCCACUAGUUUUAUAUAGAUAGAUAGAUAACUUCUUUUUUUUGUUUUUUGAUAACCAGAUGUCCGGACCAGCUUAUGCGCACCUCAACUAAUCCCGGACCCUGAAGUUAACGAUCAGCCCAACCUUCAGCGGCCCUAAGGUUUGGGAUGUUUGGCCUUCAUGAGAUUCAACCCUGCAACCUCCUGGGUGGUAAGCCCUUUGGUUGCCUUCUUCUC